This 731-nucleotide ribosomal RNA is filed under the name uncultured bacterium. RNAcentral's name for it is "bacterial SSU rRNA". It matches the Rfam family "Bacterial small subunit ribosomal RNA", at positions 771 to 1501 of the family's 1533-position model. The record is from RNAcentral.
AACAGGAUUAGAUACCCUGGUAGUCCACGCUGUAAACGAUGUCGACUUGGAGGUUGUGCCCUUGAGGCGUGGCUUCCGGAGCUAACGCGUUAAGUCGACCGCCUGGGGAGUACGGCCGCAAGGUUAAAACUCAAAUGAAUUGACGGGGGCCCGCACAAGCGGUGGAGCAUGUGGUUUAAUUCGAUGCAACGCGAAGAACCUUACCUACUCUUGACAUCCAGAGAAUUUGCUAGAGAUAGCUUAGUGCCUUCGGGAACUCUGAGACAGGUGCUGCAUGGCUGUCGUCAGCUCGUGUUGUGAAAUGUUGGGCUAAGUCCCGCAACGAGCGCAACCCUUAUCCUUUGUUGCCAGCGAGUCAUGUCGGGAACUCAAAGGAGACUGCCGGUGAUAAACCGGAGGAAGGUGGGGAUGACGUCAAGUCAUCAUGGCCCUUACGAGUAGGGCUACACACGUGCUACAAUGGCAUAUACAAAGAGAAGCGAACUCGCGAGAGCAAGCGGACCUCAUAAAGUAUGUCGUAGUCCGGAUUGGAGUCUGCAACUCGACUCCUUGAAGUCGGAAUCGCUAGUAAUCGUAGAUCAGAAUGCUACGGUGAAUACGUUCCCGGGCCUUGUACACACCGCCCGUCACACCAUGGGGGUGGGUUGCAAAAGAAGUAGGUAGCUUAACCUUCGGGAGGGCGCUUACCACUUUGUGAUUCAUGACUGGGGUGAAGUCGUAACAAGGUAACC